GACGAACGCUGGCGGCGUGCUUAACACAUGCAAGUCGAACGAAGAGCGAUGGAAGCUUGCUUCUAUCAAUCUUAGUGGCGAACGGGUGAGUAACGCGUAAUCAACCUGCCCUUCAGAGGGGGACAACAGUUGGAAACGACUGCUAAUACCGCAUACGAUCUAAUCUCGGCAUCGAGGAUAGAUGAAAGGUGGCCUCUACAUGUAAGCUAUCACUGAAGGAGGGGAUUGCGUCUGAUUAGCUAGUUGGAUGGGUAACGGCCCACCAAGGCGAUGAUCAGUAGCCGGUCUGAGAGGAUGAACGGCCACAUUUGGACUGAGACACGGCCCAGACUCCUACGGGAGGCAGCAGUGGGGAAUCUUCCGCAAUGGACGAAAGUCUGACGGAGCAACGCCGCGUGAGUGAUGACGGCCUUCGGGUUGUAAAGCUCUGUUAAUCGGGACAAAAGGCCUUCUUGCGAAUAGUGAGAAGGAUUGACGGUACCGGAAUAGAAAGCCACGGCUAACUACGUG
This 510-nucleotide ribosomal RNA is filed under the name uncultured bacterium. Its description in RNAcentral is "partial 16S ribosomal RNA". It matches the Rfam family "Bacterial small subunit ribosomal RNA", at positions 28 to 507 of the family's 1533-position model. The record is from RNAcentral.